UCCCUGGUGGCUCAGAUGGUAAAGUGUCUGCCUACAAUGUGGGAGACCCAGGUUCAAUCCCUGGGUCGGGAA
Molecule: non-coding RNA, 72 nt
Organism: Bos taurus (domestic cattle)
Lineage: Eukaryota; Metazoa; Chordata; Mammalia; Artiodactyla; Bovidae
Source: Rfam